Cervus elaphus (red deer) is the source of this 190-nucleotide long non-coding RNA. RefSeq lists it as uncharacterized. The transcript is spliced from 3 exons. Lineage: Eukaryota; Metazoa; Chordata; Mammalia; Artiodactyla; Cervidae. The record is from RefSeq and is a predicted model, not a curated record.
CUUAAAAUUCAGCAUUCAAAAAACUAAGAUCAUGACAUCCAGUCCCAUCACUUCACGGUAAAUAGAAGAGGACAAAGUGAAAACAGUGUCAGACUUUAUUUUCCUGGCCUCCAAAAGCACUGCUGACAGUGACUGCGACCAUGAAAUUAAAAGAUGCUUGCUCCUUGGAAGAAAAGCUAUGACAAACCUA